UAGAGUUUGAUCAUGGCUCAGGAUGAACGCUGGCGGUAUGCCUAACACAUGCAAGUCGUACGAGAGUUUUUAACUCUAGUGGCGGACGGGUGAGUAACACGUGAGAAUUUGCCUUUAGGAGGGGGAUAACAAUUGGAAACGGAUGCUAAUACCCCAUAUGCUUUCGAGUGAAAUGGAUUUAUAUUUAUCCGCCUAGAGAGAAGCUCGCGGCUGAUUAGCUUGUUGGUAAGGUAAGAGCUUACCAAGGCGACGAUCAGUAUCUGGUUUGAGAGGACGAUCAGACACACUGGAACUGAGACACGGUCCAGACUCCUACGGGAGGCAGCAGUGGGGAAUUUUCCGCAAUGGGCGAAAGCCUGACGGAGCAAUACCGCGUGAGGGAAGACUGCCUAUGGGUUGUAAACCUCUUUUUUCAGGGAGGAAUCAAUGACGUGUACCUGAAGAAUAAGCACCGGCUAACUCCGUGCCAGCAGCCGCGGUAAGACGGAGGAUGCAAGUGUUAUCCGGAAUCACUGGGCGUAAAGCGUCUGUAGGUGGUUUAAUAAGUCAACUGUUAAAUCUUGAGGCUCAACUUCAAAAUCGCAGUCGAAACUAUUAGACUAGAGUAUAGUAGAGGUAAAGGGAAUUUCCAGUGGAGCGGUGAAAUGCGUAGAUAUUGGAAAGAACACCGAUGGCGAAAGCACUUUACUGGGCUAUUACUAAC
Molecule: ribosomal RNA, 703 nt
Filed under: uncultured bacterium
Lineage: Bacteria
Description: bacterial SSU rRNA
Rfam family: Bacterial small subunit ribosomal RNA
Source: RNAcentral